Molecule: non-coding RNA, 87 nt
Organism: Triticum aestivum (bread wheat)
Lineage: Eukaryota; Viridiplantae; Streptophyta; Magnoliopsida; Poales; Poaceae
Source: Rfam
CCAUGCAUUACUAGGCGGGUCUCCUUUGGCAGUGGCCUCAUCAAACAACCAACCACUGCCAAAGGAGACUUGCCCAGCGAUGCAGCU